AGGACGAACGCUGGCGGCGUGCUUAACACAUGCAAGUCGAGCGGUAAGGCCUUUCGGGGUACACGAGCGGCGAACAGGUGAGUAACACGUGGGUGAUCUGCCCUGCACUCUGGGAUAAGCCUGGGAAACUGGGUCUAAUACCGGAUAUGACCUGCUCUCGCAUGGGGGUGGUGGAAAGAUUUAUCGGUGCAGGAUGGGCCCGCGGCCUAUCAGCUUGUUGGUGGGUAAUGGCCUACCAAGGCGACGAC
Molecule: ribosomal RNA, 248 nt
Filed under: uncultured soil bacterium
Lineage: Bacteria
Description: partial 16S ribosomal RNA
Rfam family: Bacterial small subunit ribosomal RNA
Source: RNAcentral